ACGCUCGACACCUACGGGAGCAGCAGUCGGGAAUAUUGCGCAAUGGAGGAAACUCUGACGCAGUGACGCCGCGUAUAGGAAGAAGGUUUUCGGAUUGUAAACUAUUGUCGUUAGGGAAGAGAAAGGACAGUACCUAAGGAGGAAGCUCCGGCUAACUACGUGCCAGCAGCCACGGUAAUCUGAGCGGGCUGGCAAGGC
Molecule: ribosomal RNA, 198 nt
Filed under: uncultured bacterium
Lineage: Bacteria
Description: partial 16S ribosomal RNA
Rfam family: Bacterial small subunit ribosomal RNA
Source: RNAcentral